Non-coding RNA from Pelobates cultripes (western spadefoot toad), 222 nucleotides. NCBI's taxonomy places the organism in Eukaryota, Metazoa, Chordata, Amphibia, Anura, Pelobatidae. The record is from the annotation of a GenBank genome assembly.
GUGGGCUUUCCUUGAAGAUCUUUGGUAACGUGUUGUCCGCGGAAAUCAUCUUCCAAUUGUCUUUGACAAUGGCGGAUACCAGAUUAGAUGAAUUAUGGAAUGUCAUCGGGAAGGCAAUUCUUUGUACAGGAUCUGUCUUUGGGCGCACCGGAGCUAAUCAAGCUUUCAACAGUGCAUCAUCCAAUGCCUGAACUUCAUAUCCCCUCUCCAAAAACUUCUGAG